CCAGAUUUUCUUUAUCUGAGAAGAGUUUGGAUUCUGAUGUUCUCCAUCCGUGACUUCCAAGCUGCACCGAAACAAAGCCUCCUGACAAGUGCGUGACAACAUGUGCAUGGACUGACCCACAGUGAAGAGACAAAGCCCAUCCCUGCCAGAUUUCACCAGCUUCUUCCCAUGAACCAUCAGACUCCCACAACAAUCCGCAAUGGUCCUACUCCAGGCCAAAUAUAUUUCGCCAAGCUCUACACCGGUCCGACACCUUUUGGAAACCAAAAGCCUGCUGCCAUGUUAAAGAAAACCUUUGUUUCUUCUGCGGAUAAUUCCAGCUGAUCAGGGACCAAAUGGACAAUACGAGGACGUCUUAUUUUUUUGCACAGAGCAGCCAACAAGCACGUCACAAAGUCAAC
This is a long non-coding RNA of Sphaerodactylus townsendi, 401 nucleotides long. RefSeq lists it as uncharacterized. The transcript is spliced from 3 exons. Lineage: Eukaryota; Metazoa; Chordata; Lepidosauria; Squamata; Sphaerodactylidae. The record is from RefSeq and is a predicted model, not a curated record.